CCACUACUCCACUUCACAUCCCCACCAAAACUCUCUGGCUUCCACUACUAAGUGUAAUUCACGCUAAUUCCAUCUCCACUUUCACCUUUUCACUAGGGAUCGAAACCCUGGAGCCGCUCGCCGCUGAGCACCCUAGCGCGUCGCCCGCCGUUCUGCGCCCUAGCGUCGCCCGCCGCUCUGCACCCUAGCACCGCCGCACGCCGCUCUGCUGCAUCAGCCGCCGCACGCCUCCAGGCCAGAACACGCAGCACCGCGUUCUAUAGGCCCGUUGGAAUCGUUGGAGUUUAAAGAGAGAGGUAAUUGAAUUUGGUUGGUUGUUGCAGGGAGAGAAAGGCGAAACCCAAGGCUGCAGCAGAAUCCAAAGAUCCACAAAGUGUUGCAGCUAAGAAUCGAAGGGAACGGAUCAGUGAACUGCUAAAGAUUAUCUGCUUGCUCAGCUGCGAUGGUAUGACCAUCGCCGCAUUCCGUGCGCCUGCGACUCGCCAGGACUCUGGUUUGAAUCAAUGCGUUGAAAACCUAAUUGAGCGCGAAUCUUUUUAGGUUAGAGGGUUUUCUGCGGAAUUUAAUUGGUGAGCUCCAAAUUUGAGGGGAAUUGUGUGAAAAAGAGGAUUUUUCACCAGCUGCACAUGUCGUUUCUUGAGGAUUUGUUGCCGGUUGUGUGGGGAGGGGAAUUUGGGGAGAGAAUUCGAGUUUAUUCUGGAGUCAUUGAAAAAGUUGUCACGAUGGUUAGCCAAUGUUCAACUUUUCCAAUGUACAAUGGAGUUGCUUUUUGAUCAAGAGCUUGAAGAAAAAUUAUGAGUCCUAGAUUAAUUGGAGUUGUAGAUUAAGUGCUUAGUAAUUUAGACAUUUAAAAUUAUAUGUAGUUAGUAAUUUCAGACUUGUACUUUGAUUUUGUUAAAUAUUUUUUUAUGUAAAUGUUCUGUAUGAUAUUCUUGUUAUAUUUAAUAUUUAAUGUGUUGAGUA
Long non-coding RNA from Salvia miltiorrhiza (redroot sage), 963 nucleotides. RefSeq lists it as uncharacterized. The record is from RefSeq and is a predicted model, not a curated record. NCBI's taxonomy places the organism in Eukaryota, Viridiplantae, Streptophyta, Magnoliopsida, Lamiales, Lamiaceae. The transcript has 4 exons.